This 149-nucleotide signal recognition particle RNA is filed under the name Pan paniscus (pygmy chimpanzee). Its description in RNAcentral is "Metazoan signal recognition particle RNA". It matches the Rfam family "Metazoan signal recognition particle RNA". Rfam says of the family: The signal recognition particle (SRP) is a universally conserved ribonucleoprotein. It is involved in the co-translational targeting of proteins to membranes. The eukaryotic SRP consists of a 300-nucleotide 7S RNA and six proteins: SRPs 72, 68, 54, 19, 14, and 9. RNAcentral also lists the same sequence under 1 other name. Lineage: Eukaryota; Metazoa; Chordata; Mammalia; Primates; Hominidae. The record is from Rfam by way of RNAcentral.
GCCAGGGCAUGGUGGUGCAUGCCUGUAGUCCCAGCUACUCGGGAGGCUGAGGCAGGAGGAUCACUUGAGCCCAGGAGGUUGAGGCUGCAGUGAGCUGUGACUGUACCACUGCACUCCAACCUGGGCAACAGAGUGAGACCCUGUCUCAA